GCAUAACGCGAAGAACCUUACCUGGCCUUGACAUGUCCGGAAUCCAGCAGAGAUGCAGGAGUGCCUUCGGGAAUCGGAACACAGGUGCUGCAUGGCUGUCGUCAGCUCGUGUCGUGAGAUGUUGGGUUAAGUCCCGCAACGAGCGCAACCCUUGUCCUUAGUUGCCAGCACGUAAUGGUGGGAACUCUAAGGAGACUGCCGGUGACAAACCGGAGGAAGGUGGGGAUGACGUCAAGUCCUCAUGGCCCUUACGGCCUGGGCUACACACGUGCUACAAUGGUCGGUACAGAGGGUUGCCAAGCCGCGAGGUGGAGCUAAUCUCACAAAACCGAUCGUAGUCCGGAUCGCAGUCUGCAACUCGACUGCGUGAAGUCGGAAUCGCUAGUAAUCGCGAAUCAGAAUGUCGCGGUGAAUACGUUCCCGGGUCUUGUACACACCG
This 439-nucleotide ribosomal RNA is filed under the name uncultured bacterium. Its description in RNAcentral is "bacterial SSU rRNA". It matches the Rfam family "Bacterial small subunit ribosomal RNA", at positions 954 to 1392 of the family's 1533-position model. The record is from RNAcentral.